GGCUAGGUGGUGGCAAUGGCAUCACGGCUCUUUCGUAAGGAGCAAUUCUGAGUUCGAUUCUCAGCCUGGCCU
Transfer RNA from Thecamonas trahens ATCC 50062, 72 nucleotides. It matches the Rfam family "tRNA". From Rfam's summary of the family: Transfer RNA (tRNA) molecules are approximately 80 nucleotides in length. Their secondary structure includes four short double-helical elements and three loops (D, anti-codon, and T loops). The record is from Rfam. NCBI's taxonomy places the organism in Eukaryota, Apusomonadida, Apusomonadidae.